UACGUAGGGUGCGAGCGUUGUCCGGAAUUACUGGGCGUAAAGAGCUCGUAGGCGGUUCGUCGCGUCGGCUGUGAAAUCCCGAGGCUCAACCUCGGGUCUGCAGUCGAUACGGGCGGACUGGAGUUCGGCAGGGGAGACUGGAAUUCCUGGUGUAGCGGUGAAAUGCGCAGAUAUCAGGAGGAACACCGGUGGCGAAGGCGGGUCUCUGGGCCGAUACUGACGCUGAGGAGCGAAAGCGUGGGGAGCGAACAGG
Molecule: ribosomal RNA, 253 nt
Filed under: uncultured bacterium
Lineage: Bacteria
Description: partial 16S ribosomal RNA
Rfam family: Bacterial small subunit ribosomal RNA
Source: RNAcentral